RNAcentral lists this ribosomal RNA (411 nucleotides) under uncultured bacterium. Its description in RNAcentral is "bacterial SSU rRNA". It matches the Rfam family "Bacterial small subunit ribosomal RNA", at positions 411 to 808 of the family's 1533-position model. The record is from RNAcentral.
ANNGCNUUCGGNUUGUNAACUGCUUUUGUACGGAACGAAACGGCUCUUUCUAAUAAAGAGGGCUAAUGACGGUACCGUAAGAAUAAGCACCGGCUAACUACGUGCCAGCAGCCGCGGUAAUACGUAGGGUGCGAGCGUUAAUCGGAAUUACUGGGCGUAAAGCGUGCGCAGGCGGUUAUAUAAGACAGUUGUGAAAUCCCCGGGCUCAACCUGGGAAUUGCAUCUGUGACUGUAUGGCUAGAGUACGGUAGAGGGGGAUGGAAUUCCGCGUGUAGCAGUGAAAUGCGUAGAUAUGCGGAGGAACACCGAUGGCGAAGGCAAUCCCCUUGGACCUUGUACUUGACGCUUCAUGCACGAAAGCGUGGGGAGCAAACAGGAUUAGAAUACCCUUGGUAGUCCAAGGGCGAAUUU